RNAcentral lists this ribosomal RNA (253 nucleotides) under uncultured bacterium. RNAcentral describes it as "partial 16S ribosomal RNA". It matches the Rfam family "Bacterial small subunit ribosomal RNA", at positions 524 to 776 of the family's 1533-position model. The record is from RNAcentral.
UACGGAGGGUGCGAGCGUUGUUCGGAAUCACUGGGCGUAAAGGGCUCGUAGGCGGCCAACUAAGUCAGACGUGAAAUCCCUCGGCUUAACCGGGGAACUGCAUCUGAUACUGGAUGGCUUGAGAUUGGGAGAGGGAUGCGGAAUUCCAGGUGUAGCGGUGAAAUGCAUUGAGAUCGGAAAGAACACCAACGGCGAAAGCACUCUGCUGGGCCGACACUGACACUGAGAGACGAAAGCUAGGGGAGCAAAUGGG